This 2921-nucleotide ribosomal RNA is filed under the name Staphylococcus aureus subsp. aureus CIG1096. RNAcentral's name for it is "bacterial LSU rRNA". It matches the Rfam family "Bacterial large subunit ribosomal RNA". Lineage: Bacteria; Bacillati; Bacillota; Bacilli; Caryophanales; Staphylococcaceae. The record is from RNAcentral.
UUAAGUUAUUAAGGGCGCACGGUGGAUGCCUUGGCACUAGAAGCCGAUGAAGGACGUUACUAACGACGAUAUGCUUUGGGGAGCUGUAAGUAAGCUUUGAUCCAGAGAUUUCCGAAUGGGGAAACCCAGCAUGAGUUAUGUCAUGUUAUCGAUAUGUGAAUACAUAGCAUAUCAGAAGGCACACCCGGAGAACUGAAACAUCUUAGUACCCGGAGGAAGAGAAAGAAAAUUCGAUUCCCUUAGUAGCGGCGAGCGAAACGGGAAGAGCCCAAACCAAAAAGCUUGCUUGUUGGGGUUGUAGGACACUCUAUACGGAGUUACAAAGGACGACAUUAGACGAAUCAUCUGGAAAGAUGAAUCAAAGAAGGUAAUAAUCCUGUAGUCGAAAAUGUUGUCUCUCUUGAGUGGAUCCUGAGUACGACGGAGCACGUGAAAUUCCGUCGGAAUCUGGGAGGACCAUCUCCUAAGGCUAAAUACUCUCUAGUGACCGAUAGUGAACCAGUACCGUGAGGGAAAGGUGAAAAGCACCCCGGAAGGGGAGUGAAAUAGAACCUGAAACCGUGUGCUUACAAGUAGUCAGAGCCCGUUAAUGGGUGAUGGCGUGCCUUUUGUAGAAUGAACCGGCGAGUUACGAUUUGAUGCAAGGUUAAGCAGUAAAUGUGGAGCCGUAGCGAAAGCGAGUCUGAAUAGGGCGUUUAGUAUUUGGUCGUAGACCCGAAACCAGGUGAUCUACCCUUGGUCAGGUUGAAGUUCAGGUAACACUGAAUGGAGGACCGAACCGACUUACGUUGAAAAGUGAGCGGAUGAACUGAGGGUAGCGGAGAAAUUCCAAUCGAACCUGGAGAUAGCUGGUUCUCUCCGAAAUAGCUUUAGGGCUAGCCUCAAGUGAUGAUUAUUGGAGGUAGAGCACUGUUUGGACGAGGGGCCCCUCUCGGGUUACCGAAUUCAGACAAACUCCGAAUGCCAAUUAAUUUAACUUGGGAGUCAGAACAUGGGUGAUAAGGUCCGUGUUCGAAAGGGAAACAGCCCAGACCACCAGCUAAGGUCCCAAAAUAUAUGUUAAGUGGAAAAGGAUGUGGCGUUGCCCAGACAACUAGGAUGUUGGCUUAGAAGCAGCCAUCAUUUAAAGAGUGCGUAAUAGCUCACUAGUCGAGUGACACUGCGCCGAAAAUGUACCGGGGCUAAACAUAUUACCGAAGCUGUGGAUUGUCCUUUGGACAAUGGUAGGAGAGCGUUCUAAGGGCGUUGAAGCAUGAUCGUAAGGACAUGUGUAGCGCUUAGAAGUGAGAAUGCCGGUGUGAGUAGCGAAAGACGGGUGAGAAUCCCGUCCACCGAUUGACUAAGGUUUCCAGAGGAAGGCUCGUCCGCUCUGGGUUAGUCGGGUCCUAAGCUGAGGCCGACAGGCGUAGGCGAUGGAUAACAGGUUGAUAUUCCUGUACCACCUAUAAUCGUUUUAAUCGAUGGGGGGACGCAGUAGGAUAGGCGAAGCGUGCGAUUGGAUUGCACGUCUAAGCAGUAAGGCUGAGUAUUAGGCAAAUCCGGUACUCGUUAAGGCUGAGCUGUGAUGGGGAGAAGACAUUGAGUCUUCGAGUCGUUGAUUUCACACUGCCGAGAAAAGCCUCUAGAUAGAAAAUAGGUGCCCGUACCGCAAACCGACACAGGUAGUCAAGAUGAGAAUUCUAAGGUGAGCGAGCGAACUCUCGUUAAGGAACUCGGCAAAAUGACCCCGUAACUUCGGGAGAAGGGGUGCUCUUUAGGGUUAACGCCCAGAAGAGCCGCAGUGAAUAGGCCCAAGCGACUGUUUAUCAAAAACACAGGUCUCUGCUAAACCGUAAGGUGAUGUAUAGGGGCUGACGCCUGCCCGGUGCUGGAAGGUUAAGAGGAGUGGUUAGCUUCUGCGAAGCUACGAAUCGAAGCCCCAGUAAACGGCGGCCGUAACUAUAACGGUCCUAAGGUAGCGAAAUUCCUUGUCGGGUAAGUUCCGACCCGCACGAAAGGCGUAACGAUUUGGGCACUGUCUCAACGAGAGACUCGGUGAAAUCAUAGUACCUGUGAAGAUGCAGGUUACCCGCGACAGGACGGAAAGACCCCGUGGAGCUUUACUGUAGCCUGAUAUUGAAAUUCGGCACAGCUUGUACAGGAUAGGUAGGAGCCUUUGAAACGUGAGCGCUAGCUUACGUGGAGGCGCUGGUGGGAUACUACCCUAGCUGUGUUGGCUUUCUAACCCGCACCACUUAUCGUGGUGGGAGACAGUGUCAGGCGGGCAGUUUGACUGGGGCGGUCGCCUCCUAAAAGGUAACGGAGGCGCUCAAAGGUUCCCUCAGAAUGGUUGGAAAUCAUUCAUAGAGUGUAAAAGCAUAAGGGAGCUCGACUGCGAGACCUACAAGUCGAGCAGGGUCGAAAGACGGACUUAGUGAUCCGGUGGUUCCGCAUGGAAGGGCCAUCGCUCAACGGAUAAAAGCUACCCCGGGGAUAACAGGCUUAUCUCCCCCAAGAGUUCACAUCGACGGGGAGGUUUGGCACCUCGAUGUCGGCUCAUCGCAUCCUGGGGCUGUAGUCGGUCCCAAGGGUUGGGCUGUUCGCCCAUUAAAGCGGUACGCGAGCUGGGUUCAGAACGUCGUGAGACAGUUCGGUCCCUAUCCGUCGUGGGCGUAGGAAAUUUGAGAGGAGCUGUCCUUAGUACGAGAGGACCGGGAUGGACAUACCUCUGGUGUACCAGUUGUCGUGCCAACGGCAUAGCUGGGUAGCUAUGUGUGGACGGGAUAAGUGCUGAAAGCAUCUAAGCAUGAAGCCCCCCUCAAGAUGAGAUUUCCCAACUUCGGUUAUAAGAUCCCUCAAAGAUGAUGAGGUUAAUAGGUUCGAGGUGGAAGCAUGGUGACAUGUGGAGCUGACGAAUACUAAUCGAUCGAAGACUUAAUCAA